UACGGGGGGAGCAAGCGUUGUUCGGAUUUACUGGGCGUAAAGGGCGCGUAGGCGGUCAGCCCAAGUCAGUUGUGAAAUCUCCGGGCUUAACUCGGAAAGGUCGACUGAUACUGUGCGACUAGAGUGCAGAAGGGGCAACUGGAAUUCUCGGUGUAGCGGUGAAAUGCGUAGAUAUCGAGAGGAACACCUGCGGCGAAGGCGGGUUGCUGGGCCGACACUGACGCUGACAGCGCGAAAGCCAGGGGAGCAAACGGG
Molecule: ribosomal RNA, 255 nt
Filed under: uncultured bacterium
Lineage: Bacteria
Description: partial 16S ribosomal RNA
Rfam family: Bacterial small subunit ribosomal RNA
Source: RNAcentral